UACAGAGGGUGCAAGCGUUAAUCGGAAUUACUGGGCGUAAAGCGUGCGUAGACGGUUGCGUAAGUCAGAUGUGAAAGCCCCGGGCUCAACCUGGGAAUUGCAUUUGAGACUGCGUAGCUAGGGUGCGGAAGAGGGAAGCGGAAUUUCCGGUGUAGCGGUGAAAUGCGUAGAUAUCUGGAGGAACACCGGUGGCGAAGGCGGCAUCCUGAACCAAUUCUGACGCUGAGUGAGCGAAAGCCAGGGGAGCAAACGGG
RNAcentral lists this ribosomal RNA (254 nucleotides) under uncultured bacterium. RNAcentral's name for it is "partial 16S ribosomal RNA". It matches the Rfam family "Bacterial small subunit ribosomal RNA", at positions 524 to 776 of the family's 1533-position model. The record is from RNAcentral.